This 492-nucleotide ribosomal RNA is filed under the name uncultured bacterium. RNAcentral's name for it is "partial 16S ribosomal RNA". It matches the Rfam family "Bacterial small subunit ribosomal RNA", at positions 29 to 507 of the family's 1533-position model. The record is from RNAcentral.
AGUGAACGCUGGCGGUAGGCCUAACACAUGCAAGUCGAACGGCAGCACAGUAAGAGCUUGCUCUUACGGGUGGCGAGUGGCGGACGGGUGAGGAAUACAUCGGAAUCUACUUUUUCGUGGGGGAUAACGUAGGGAAACUUACGCUAAUACCGCAUACAACCUACGGGUGAAAGCAGGGGAUCUUCGGACCUUGCGCGAUUGAAUGAGCCGAUGUCGGAUUAGCUAGUUGGCGGGGUAAAGGCCCACCAAGGCGACGAUCCGUAGCUGGUCUGAGAGGAUGAUCAGCCACACUGGAACUGAGACACGGUCCAGACUCCUACGGGAGGCAGCAGUGGGGAAUAUUGGACAAUGGGCGCAAGCCUGGUCCAGCCAUACCGCGUGGGUGAAGAAGGCCUUCGGGUUGUAAAGCCCUUUUGUUGGGAAAGAAAAGCAGCAGGUUAAUACCCCGCUGUUCUGACGGUACCCAAAGAAUAAGCACCGGCUAACUUCGUG